Molecule: ribosomal RNA, 497 nt
Filed under: uncultured bacterium
Lineage: Bacteria
Description: partial 16S ribosomal RNA
Rfam family: Bacterial small subunit ribosomal RNA
Source: RNAcentral
GAUGAACGCUGGCGGCGUGCCUAAUACAUGCAAGUCGAGCGAACGGACGAGGAGCUUGCUUCUCUGAUGUUAGCGGCGGACGGGUGAGUAACACGUGGAUAACCUACCUAUAAGACUGGGAUAACUUCGGGAAACCGGAGCUAAUACCGGAUGAUAUUUUGAACCGCAUGGUUCAAAAGUUAAAGACGGUCUUGCUGUCACUUAUAGAUGGAUCCGCGCUGCAUUAGCUAGUUGGUAAGGUAACGGCUUACCAAGGCAACGAUGCAUAGCCGACCUGAGAGGGUGAUCGGCCACACUGGAACUGAGACACGGUCCAGACUCCUACGGGAGGCAGCAGUAGGGACUCUUCCGCAAUGGGCGAAAGCCUGACGGAGCAACGCCGCGUGAGUGAUGAAGGUCUUCGGAUCGUAAAACUCUGUUAUUAGGGAAGAACAUAUGUGUAAGUAACUGUGCACAUCUUGACGGUACCUAAUCAGAAAGCCACGGCUAACUACGUG